This 585-nucleotide long non-coding RNA is filed under the name Homo sapiens (human). Its description in RNAcentral is "HSALNT0216281". The record is from RNAcentral. Lineage: Eukaryota; Metazoa; Chordata; Mammalia; Primates; Hominidae.
AGGGACACAACAUGGCGGCGGGAUCUCUAACGCUCUCCUUCGAGGGACCACCACGGAGAUCCUAGUGCGGGACCCCGCCUCAGGGAAGUGGAAAGCAGGGGGACAACCUUCCUGCUUCUUUCUUUUCCGUCCAGUGUCGGCAAGGGGUUGUCACCGGCUUCCGCAUCCAAGAUGAAGAACUAUAAAGCAAUUGGCAAAAUAGGAGAGGGAACGUUUUCUGAAGUUAUGAAGAUGCAAAGCCUGAGAGAUGGAAACUACUAUGCAUGUAAACAAAUGAAGCAGCGCUUUGAAAGUGACAGAAAAUCUGGUUCUCUUGCACUAAUAUGUGAACUUAUGGACAUGAAUAUUUAUGAGCUAAUACGAGGGAGAAGAUACCCAUUAUCAGAAAAAAAAAUUAUGCACUAUAUGUACCAGUUAUGUAAGUCCCUGGAUCAUAUUCACAGAAAUGGAAUAUUUCACAGAGAUGUAAAACCAGAAAAUAUACUAAUAAAGGAUGUCCUGAAAUUAGGGGACUUUGGCUCCUGCCGGAGUGUCUAUUCCAAGCAGCCGUACACGGAAUACAUCUCCACCCGCUGGUACCGGGCC